UGCGCAGGCGGCUUAUUAAGUCAGUGGUGAAAUCUCUCGGCUCAACCGAGAAACUGCCAUUGAAACUGAUAAGCUUGAGUGUAGUUGUAGUAGGCGGAAUAUAGCAUGUAGCGGUGAAAUGCUUAGAUAUGCUAUAGAACACCGAUCGCGAAGGCUGCUUACUAAACUAUUACUGACGCUCAUGCACGAAAGCGUGGGGAGCAAACAGGAUUAGAUACCCUGGUAGUCC
Molecule: ribosomal RNA, 229 nt
Filed under: uncultured bacterium
Lineage: Bacteria
Description: partial 16S ribosomal RNA
Rfam family: Bacterial small subunit ribosomal RNA
Source: RNAcentral